CCUGGGCACGAUGUGCGGGUAUAGUGGCGACGGGUGAGUAACACGUGGGCAAUCUGCCCUGCACUCUGGGACAAGCCCUGGAAACGGGGUCUAAUACCGGAUAUGACUGUCCAUCGCAUGGUGGAUGGUGUAAAGCUCCGGCGGUGCAGGAUGAGCCCGCGGCCUAUCAGCUUGUUGGUGAGGUAGUGGCUCACCAAGGCGACGACGGGUAGCCGGCCUGAGAGGGCGACCGGCCACACUGGGACUGAGACACGGCCCAGACUCCUACGGGAGGCAGCAGUGGGGAAUAUUGCACAAUGGGCGAAAGCCUGAUGCAGCGACGCCGCGUGAGGGAUGACGGCCUUCGGGUUGUAAACCUCUUUCAGCAGGGAAGAAGCGAAAGUGACGGUACCUGCAGAAGAAGCGCCGGCUAACUACGUGCCAGCAGCCGCGGUAAUACGUAGGGCGCAAGCGUUGUCCGGAAUUAUUGGGCGUAAAGAGCUCGUAGGCGGCUUGUCACGUCGGUUGUGAAAGCCCGGGGCUUAACCCCGGGUCUGCAGUCGAUACGGGCAGGCUAGAGUUCGGUAGGGGAGAUCGGAAUUCCUGGUGUAGCGGUGAAAUGCGCAGAUAUCAGGAGGAACACCGGUGGCGAAGGCGGAUCUCUGGGCCGAUACUGACGCUGAGGAGCGAAAGCGUGGGGGAGCGAACAGGAUUAGAUACCCUGGUAGUCCACGCCGUAAACGGUGGGGCACUAGGUGUGGGGCAACAUUCCACGUUGUCCGUGCCGCAGCUAACGCAUUAAGUGCCCGCCUGGGGAGUACGGCCUGAAGGCUAAACUCAAGGAAUUGACGGGGGCCCUGCACAAGCGGCGGAGCAUGUGGCUAAAUUCGAACGCAUCGCGAAGAAACCUUUACCAAGGUUGGAACAU
This 907-nucleotide ribosomal RNA is filed under the name Streptomyces sp. enrichment culture. Its description in RNAcentral is "bacterial SSU rRNA". It matches the Rfam family "Bacterial small subunit ribosomal RNA", at positions 71 to 988 of the family's 1533-position model. Lineage: Bacteria; Bacillati; Actinomycetota; Actinomycetes; Kitasatosporales; Streptomycetaceae. The record is from RNAcentral.